UACGAAGGGUGCUAGCGUUGUUCGGAAUUACUGGGCGUAAAGCGCGCGUAGGCGGCCAAUCAAGUCAGAGGUGAAAGCCCUGGGCUCAACCCAGGAAUUGCCUUUGAAACUGUUUGGCUAGAGUAUUGGAGGGGAGUGCGGAAUUGCUAAUGUAGAGGUGAAAUUCGUAGAUAUUAGCAGGAACACCGGUGGCGAAGGCGGCACUCUGGACAAUAACUGACGCUGAGGCGCGAAAGCGUGGGGAUCAAACAGG
This 253-nucleotide ribosomal RNA is filed under the name uncultured bacterium. RNAcentral describes it as "partial 16S ribosomal RNA". It matches the Rfam family "Bacterial small subunit ribosomal RNA", at positions 524 to 776 of the family's 1533-position model. The record is from RNAcentral.